GUGCCAGCCGCCGCGGUAAUACGUAGGGUGCGAGCGUUGUCCGGAAUUACUGGGCGUAAAGAGUUCGUAGGCGGUUUGUUACGUCGUUUGUGAAAACUCACAGCUCAACUGUGAGCCUGCAGGCGAUACGGGCAGACUUGAGUACUGCAGGGGAGACUGGAAUUCCUGGUGUAGCGGUGAAAUGCGCAGAUAUCAGGAGGAACACCGGUGGCGAAGGCGGGUCUCUGGGCAGUAACUGACGCUGAGGAACGAAAGCGUGGGUAGCAAACAGGAUUAGAAACCCCCGUAGUCC
This 292-nucleotide ribosomal RNA is filed under the name uncultured bacterium. Its description in RNAcentral is "partial 16S ribosomal RNA". It matches the Rfam family "Bacterial small subunit ribosomal RNA", at positions 505 to 796 of the family's 1533-position model. The record is from RNAcentral.